UACCAGCACCCCGAGUGGUCGGGACGAUUAUUGGGCCUAAAGCAUCCGUAGCCGGUUCUACAAGUCUUCCGUUAAAUCCACCUGCUUAACAGAUGGGCUGCGGAGGAUACUAUAGAGCUAGGAGGCGGGAGAGGCAAGCGGUACUUAGUGGGUAGGGGUAAAAUCCGUUGAUCCAUUGAAGACCACCAGUGGCGAAGGCGGCUUGCCAGAACGAACUCGACGGUGAGGGAUGAAAGCUGGGGGAGCAAACCGG
RNAcentral lists this ribosomal RNA (253 nucleotides) under uncultured bacterium. RNAcentral's name for it is "partial 16S ribosomal RNA". It matches the Rfam family "Archaeal small subunit ribosomal RNA", at positions 474 to 727 of the family's 1478-position model. The record is from RNAcentral.